Molecule: long non-coding RNA, 521 nt
Organism: Drosophila montana
Lineage: Eukaryota; Metazoa; Arthropoda; Insecta; Diptera; Drosophilidae
Exons: 2
Source: RefSeq, a predicted model, not a curated record
AAUAAUUUCAGUCAUAUCGGUCAAUUGUUUUUGUGUUAAAAAAACAAAUUGUUGUAUUUUCAAAAUAAAUUCAGUAGUAUACAGUUUAAUCCGAAAUGUUGAACAAAAUCAAGAAAUAGCGAAUAUUAUCGACAACAGCACGCACGCAACAGUGUUUUAAGGCUGCCCAGCAAGUAGUAAGCGCGAUUUUCAUCUACUAAAAUACUAAACAUGGUUGUUAUAAGUUGAAUCUAAAAAUUACCAUUAGAGAUGUAAGAAUCUCGAUGAAACUAUCGCAACUGUGUUUCUAAUAUUCUGGGAAUAAGUAAAUCUGCGUUAUUUUUCAUAAAUAUUAAAACUAUCGGUGGUGCCACCACCAUACAUAUAUUGGUCUCUUUCUAUGGAAAAGGUAUUUCCGCAGGAAUAUCAGUAUAAUAACUGUUCUUUGUACCAUGACGCGACAUCAGAUGUUGUCUGAGGAAAUAUCGCGUAAUAUAAAUGAAUCGCAUGCAAUACCAACAAUAACAGAGCCGAACAAGUAU